CCGAACCGACUAAUGUUGAAAAAUUAGCGGAUGACCUGUGGCUGGGGGUGAAAGGCCAAUCAAACCGGGAGAUAGCUGGUUCUCCCCGAAAGCUAUUUAGGUAGCGCCUCGUGAAUUCAUCUCCGGGGGUAGAGCACUGUUUCGGCUAGGGGGCCAUCCCGGCUUACCAACCCGAUGCAAACUGCGAAUACCGGAGAAUGUUAUCACGGGAGACACACGGCGGGUGCUAACGUCCGUCGUGAAGAGGGAAACAACCCAGACCGCCAGCUAAGGUCCCAAAGUCAUGGUUAAGUGGGAAACGAUGUGGGAAGGCCCAGACAGCCAGGAUGUUGGCUUAGAAGCAGCCAUCAUUUAAAGAAAGCGUAAUAGCUCACUGGUCGAGUCGGCCUGCGCGGAAGAUGUAACGGGGCUAAACCAUGCACCGAAGCUGCGGCAGCGACACUGUGUGUUGUUGGGUAGGGGAGCGUUCUGUAAGCCUGUGAAGGUGUGUCGUGAGGCAUGCUG
Molecule: ribosomal RNA, 504 nt
Filed under: Salmonella enterica
Lineage: Bacteria; Pseudomonadati; Pseudomonadota; Gammaproteobacteria; Enterobacterales; Enterobacteriaceae
Description: partial 23S ribosomal RNA
Rfam family: Bacterial large subunit ribosomal RNA
Source: RNAcentral